This 254-nucleotide ribosomal RNA is filed under the name uncultured bacterium. RNAcentral's name for it is "partial 16S ribosomal RNA". It matches the Rfam family "Bacterial small subunit ribosomal RNA", at positions 524 to 776 of the family's 1533-position model. The record is from RNAcentral.
UACGUAGGGUGCGAGCGUUGUCCGGAAUUAUUGGGCGUAAAGAGCUCGUAGGCGGUGUGUCACGUCGGCCGUGAAAACCUGCAGCUUAACUGUGGGCGUGCGGUCGAUACGGGCAUCACUGGAGUUCGGCAGGGGAGACUGGAAUUCCUGGUGUAGCGGUGAAAUGCGCAGAUAUCAGGAGGAACACCCGUGGCGAAGGCGGUUCUCUGGGCCGAUACUGACGCUGAGGAGCGAAAGCGUGGGGAGCGAACAGG